This 223-nucleotide long non-coding RNA is filed under the name Elaeis guineensis (African oil palm). RNAcentral's name for it is "long non-coding RNA (EGUI_LNC029233)". The record is from RNAcentral. Lineage: Eukaryota; Viridiplantae; Streptophyta; Magnoliopsida; Arecales; Arecaceae.
CCACACCAUCCAACAUGUCAUGAUAGGGUGCGGCUUCGCCAUCUGAUCUCCCCCAUCCAUGCCUCCGCCUCCUCUGGCUAUCCCUUGUAUCUCGCCAAUAUCCUAGAUUUCGUGGCUAGGGUUUUCCACGUUCUUCCUCUCCCUUUCUUCUCUACCGCUGCUGUUUCGGAGAUUGCCAAAUCCGAGUUUGACACUUCGGCCGAGCUUGCCGCUUAUCGGAGGU